Molecule: ribosomal RNA, 118 nt
Filed under: Danio rerio (zebrafish)
Lineage: Eukaryota; Metazoa; Chordata; Actinopteri; Cypriniformes; Danionidae
Source: RNAcentral
UGCGAAAGUGUACGACUCUCUGCAGCUCUCAAAGUGUCGCUCAUUGAAGUUAAGCAGAGCUGUGCCCAGUCAGUGCCUGGAUGGGAGACCACAUAUGAAAGCUAGGUUGCUGCCGGAA